Stegodyphus dumicola is the source of this 529-nucleotide long non-coding RNA. NCBI's taxonomy places the organism in Eukaryota, Metazoa, Arthropoda, Arachnida, Araneae, Eresidae. The record is from RefSeq and is a predicted model, not a curated record.
UGUUGAUUCAGUUUUACUGUUUUAGGCCCCUAAUUCGGAUGAGGAAUGCAAUCUACACUUCAUAGCACUUGUCAGUGUUAAAAGCAAGUUGUACGAAUUAGAUGGAAGGAAAAGCUUACCAGUUUGCCAUGGAUCUACGACUCCAGAGACAUUCCUGGAGGGUAAAUCUUUCAGCAAUGGACUGAAGAAAAUGCCACUGUCUCAAAGACUAUGCAUUAAAUUUUGAACAUGCAUGUAUGAAAGUACACAUUGCACCAUGAGAUGCAUGUUGAUACUGGAAAAGAUGCUGGAAAUGUUUACUACUGCUGCCUAUAUGUAGCUUAUAGUGCUUCAUGUUUCCAAAUGAGCUCUGGUGUUUGGAAACAUGAACAUGUGUCAUAUUACAUAUUAUCACUAAUCACUGCAAAUUUUUGUUGAAAUUUCAAAAUUUUAGUUUGGUAAUAUUAAUUGAAUUUGCGUUGCAUUUCAUAUUUCUUUUUAAAUGAAAUUUUCUUGUUUUCUUCUUAUAUAAUCUGAAAUUUAGGUUUAA